This 501-nucleotide ribosomal RNA is filed under the name uncultured bacterium. RNAcentral describes it as "bacterial SSU rRNA". It matches the Rfam family "Bacterial small subunit ribosomal RNA", at positions 15 to 518 of the family's 1533-position model. The record is from RNAcentral.
GAUCAUGGCUCAGGAUGAACGCUGGCGGCGUGCUUAACACAUGGCAAGUCGAACGGAGUUUUAACGGAAGUUUCGGAUGGAAGUUUAAGAACUUAGUGGCGGACGGGUGAGUAACGCGUGGGUAACCUGCCUCAUACAGGGGGAUAACAGUUAGAAAUGACUGCUAACACCGCAUAAUAUAGCGAAACCGCAUGAUUUUGCUAUCAAAUAUUUAUAGGUAUGAGAUGGGCCCGCGUCUGAUUAGCUAGUUGGUGGGGUAAAGCCUACCAAGGCGACGAUCAGUAGCCGGCUUGAGAGAGUGACCGGCCACAUUGGGACUGAGACACGGCCCAAACUCCUACGGGAGGCAGCAGUGGGGAAUAUUGGACAAUGGGGGAAACCCUGAUCCAGCGAACCGCCGCGUGAGUGAAGAAGUAUUUCGGUAUGUAAAGCUCUAUCAGCAGGGAAGAUAAUGACAGUACCUGACUAAGAAGCCCCGGCUAACUACGUGCCAGCAGCGGC